GAACUGCGAUAAGUAAUGUGAAUUGCAGAAUUCAGUGAAUCAUCGAGUCUUUGAACGCACAUUGCGCCCCCUGGCAUUCCGGGGGGCAUGCCUGUCCGAGCGUCAUUGCUGCCCUUCAAGCCCGGCUUGUGUGUUGGGUCGUCGUCCCCUCCGGGGGACGGGCCCGAAAGGCAGCGGCGGCACCGCGUCCGGUCCUCGAGCGUAUGGGGCUUUGUCACCCGCUCGAUAAGGACCGGCCGGGCGCCAGCCGGCGUCUCCAACCUUUUUUCUCAGGUUGACCUCGGAUCAGGUAGGGAUACCCGCUGAGCUUAAGC
This 314-nucleotide unclassified non-coding RNA is filed under the name plant metagenome. RNAcentral describes it as "partial contains 5.8S ribosomal RNA, internal transcribed spacer 2, and large subunit ribosomal RNA". The stretch from base 1 to 105 matches the Rfam family "5.8S ribosomal RNA", at positions 50 to 154 of the family's 154-position model. The record is from RNAcentral.